AAGUCAUGCGUCACUAACUUGUUUUUUUUGAGGAGGCGGCAAAGAUGAUCGAGGAAAAAGCGGUUGAUGUUAUCUACAUGAACUUCAGUAAAGCCUUUGACAAGGUCCCUCAUGGCAGACUGAUACAAAAAGUGAAAUCACAUGGUACCAGGGGUGAGCUGGCAAGAUGGAUACAAAACUGGCUGAAUCAUAACAGAGAGAAGGUAGCGGUGGAAAGAUGCUUUUCAGAGGGCUAUAACUAGUGGUGUUCCACAGGGAUCAGUGUUAGGACCUCUGCUGUUCUUGAUCUGAAUAAACGACUUGGAGGAAAACAUGGCUGGUCUAAUUAAGUUUGCGGACGAUACAAAGGUUGGAGGAGUUGCGGAUUGACGUGGAUUGUCAGAGGACAGCAGGACAUAUGUCAGUUGGAGGCA
Non-coding RNA from Chiloscyllium plagiosum (whitespotted bambooshark), 413 nucleotides. NCBI's taxonomy places the organism in Eukaryota, Metazoa, Chordata, Chondrichthyes, Orectolobiformes, Hemiscylliidae. The record is from RefSeq and is a predicted model, not a curated record.